Molecule: ribosomal RNA, 253 nt
Filed under: uncultured bacterium
Lineage: Bacteria
Description: partial 16S ribosomal RNA
Rfam family: Bacterial small subunit ribosomal RNA
Source: RNAcentral
UACGUAGGGGGCAAGCGUUGUCCGGAAUCAUUGGGCGUAAAGCGUGCGUAGGCGGUUCGUUAAGUGCGUCGUGAAAGCCCCGGGCUCAACCUGGGAAUGGCGAUGGGAACUGGCGGGCUGGAGUAUGGCAGAGGGGGGUGGAAUUCCGCGUGUAGCAGUGAAAUGCGUAGAGAUGCGGAGGAACACCGAUGGCGAAGGCAGCCAUCUGGACCGACACUGACGCUGAGGCGCGAAAGCGUGGGGAGCAAACAGG